GGAAACAGAUGCUAAUACCGGAUAACAANAGAUGAUGCCUAUCAACUGUUUAAAAGAUGGUUCUGCUAUCACUCUUGGAUGGACCUGCGGUGCAUUAGCUAGUUGGUAGGGUAACGGCCUACCAAGGCGAUGAUGCAUAGCCGAGUUGAGAGACUGAUCGGCCACAUUGGGACUGAGACACGGCCCAAACUCCUACGGGAGGCAGCAGCG
This 210-nucleotide ribosomal RNA is filed under the name uncultured Lactobacillus sp. RNAcentral's name for it is "partial 16S ribosomal RNA". It matches the Rfam family "Bacterial small subunit ribosomal RNA", at positions 152 to 356 of the family's 1533-position model. The record is from RNAcentral. Lineage: Bacteria; Bacillati; Bacillota; Bacilli; Lactobacillales; Lactobacillaceae.